Dendrobium catenatum is the source of this 3596-nucleotide RNA transcript. It is a transcript of the gene named pentatricopeptide repeat-containing protein At3g21470, with no coding region annotated. The record is from RefSeq and is a predicted model, not a curated record. The transcript has 2 exons. Lineage: Eukaryota; Viridiplantae; Streptophyta; Magnoliopsida; Asparagales; Orchidaceae.
ACUAAGUAUUAAUACAUAAAUGGAAUUUGAGAAGGCGAGUUUGAUUAUAUUCUCGCCAAAUAUAAUGCGGAAUUGCGGAGGCUAUUGCGAAUGACGUUUAACUCAGCCAAACGGCUGGGCAAGAUGUGCUAAUAUGCGGAGGCUUCACGCACUCCACAUAACCCAAGGAGCUAAUUUUUCUGCAGGAUGGGCUGAAAUCAUUAGAAGCUACCUCUCCCAUGGCUUUGCCAUGGAAGCGCUUCUUGUCUACACCCAAAAUCUACCAUUUAGAACUCAACAAUCCUUUCUUCCUCUCAUUCUUAAGAUAUGCGCCUCCCAUUAUCUUCUUGUGCUUGGCAAAUCUCUACAUUCAGAGUCAAUCAAAGCCGGUACUGUUCAUGAACUUCUCACUGGGACAACAUUAGUGUCAAUGUAUGGCAAAUGCAAAAAAAUAACUCUUGCUCGGAAGGUGUUUGAUGAAAUGCCUGUUAAAAAUUUAGUCACAUACAAUUCCAUGAUUGGGGGCUACUCUAUGAAUGGUGAUCUAGUAUCUGCUUCUGCACUCUUCCAUUUGGCUCCUGGAAGGACACCGGUGACAUGGGCUGUGAUGAUUGAAGGCUAUGCAGGGAUUGAGAAUCUCGUGGCUGCUAGACAAAUGUUUAAUUCAACCCCACCAUGGAUGAAGACUGUUGUUACAUGGACUGUCAUGAUCCAUGGUUAUGCUGCCAAUGGUGAGAUGGAUGCUGCGAGGGAAUUGUUUGAGGAAAUGCCAGUCAAGAAUGCAUUUGUCUGGUCAUCUAUGAUCACUGGAUACUUCAAGAAGGGUGAUGCUCCCGAGGCAAAAGCUCUGUUUAAUCGAAUUCAAACCCCAAAUUUGAUCAAUUGGAAUUCAUUGAUUGCAGGGUAUGCAAAGUUGGGAUUUUGUGAUGAGGCUUUGGAAGCUUUUAGACAAAUGCAAGGGUUUGGAAUUGAACCAGAUGAGUUUACAGUUUCAAGUGUAUUAUCGACUUGUUCGCAGCUUGGUUCCAUAGAUUCUGCCAGAGAAGUACAUGAUUUUAUUCGAAGGAAGAAGAUCAAGAUGAACAUUUUUGUCAAGAAUGGUCUGGUUGAUAUGUAUGCAAAGUGCGGGGACCUUGACAAAGCUCGAGGAAUCUUUGAUGCAAUGAUUAUAAGGAAUGAUUCAUGCUGGAAUUCAAUGAUAUCUGGUCUCGCUUCUCACGGACGGAGUGAUGAAGCUCUUGAGCUCUUUUCUCAGAUGGAAGCAUCCGAAGUGAAGCCUAAUUCAGUCACGUUUCUUGUGGUUCUUUCUGCUUGCACACAUGCAGGAUUUGUGGAGCAAGGUCUACAGAUUUUUGGGAGAAUGCACAAAUAUGGUUUGAAGGCCGGAGUGGAGCAUUAUGGCUGUUUGGUUGAUCUCUUUAGUAGAGCAGGCAGGCUAGCUGAUGCUUAUAAUGUAAUCAAGAUGAUGCCAAUGAAGCCUAAUGAGGUGGUCUGGGGGACUUUGCUUGGUGCAUGCAGAGUUUAUUUAGAUAUGGAGAUGGCAGAUCAGGUGGUUCUUGAAGCAAACAACAAAAAUAUCAGCAUUUCUUCAGUUAAUGAUGCAGAGUAUGUCUUGCUGUCAAAUAUUUAUGCUGCAUCAGAAAAAUGGGAGAGAGCUGAGAAUAUAAGGAGGAAGAUGGUGGAAAAUAAGUUAUCUAAGACACCAGGCUGCAGUAGAAUUGGAUUAGGGGAGACGAAACAACAAUCUAAUGUUGCCUUUAGCUUGGAAUCUCAGGUUUGUCGAUCAUAAGAUGUAGGUCUGAUGCGGCCUUGAAUAAAAAAUUAAGUGGAAGAAAGCAGGUCGUGAAGUUGGAUUGUGAAGAUCACAAGCCGAAGGGAUUAAUGGAAUUGUGAUUCUUAACACCUAAUCCUUCUCUAUUAAAUGAUGAAGAUACCCAUUGGAGGGAAGUAACGAUAAUAUAUUAAUGACUGGGCAGUUUUUUUCAUUUUUGAAGUGAAGCAGAUGCUGAUUAGAACCCUUCAAGGCGUCAUAGAUUUGAGGGAGUUGAACAAAUUUAUCUUCAAACCCUAGUCAAUGGCCUUGGGCAUAGCAACAAUCUUCUUUCCAUGGUCAUGGAUAACUUUUCAGUUUUCAAUUCUCUUGACUAUGACAUCCAAAUCUUUGGAAGUUCUUAGUCUCCACAUGUGGUUUCCCGUAAUGCUAUGAUCAGAUGCUUCACUCAAAAUGGACAUGAAUUUGAUACCUUUAGAAGUUACAACAAAAUGAGAAUUUUCGGUGUUUCUCUUAACGACUUCACCUUUACUGUUCUGCUGAAAGCCUGCAGACUUCUUGUGCGCCUGAGUUGUUGUAAGCAGAUUCAUGCUCAAUUGGUUAAGUAUGGACUUGGGUCUCCAUGGUUUGUACCUAUUUGAAUCGUUGGGAUAAUUGUUGGACUUGAUACCAAUAAGGAACAUAAAGUCAUGGAAUUUGAUUAUUACAGCUCUUUUAAAGGCUUGAGGCAUGGCUCUUACCUGGUCUUUCUUUAACCAGAUGGAAAUGAGGAACACCAUUCAUGGAAUGCUAGCUAUAAUCACAGGAUAUACAGCUGUUAGUGAUGUUAAGUUUGAGAACUUCAUCUUUGAGCAACUAUGGAACAAAGAUGUUGUUUCAUGGACAGCCAUGAUUGUUGCUAAUGCCAAUGCUGGGAACAUGGAAUCUGACAGGGAACUGUAUGAUAUAAUGCCAUUUAAGAAAGUUUUCUCAUGAAAUGCAAUAGUGUCAGGCUAUAUUAAAAGUUCUUAGUUUGAUAAAGCAUUGGCAUUAUUUCAUUUGAUGCUGCUGGAUGGAACAUGCUUGCAAGAUGAGGCCACUCUGUCUUGACACAGCAGCUGUUCUUCCUCUUGGAACCUUGUGCUUGUGCUAUUUGCCAUGCCAGGGGCUCUUGCUUUCGCAGUCUUCAUUUUCUGAUCUGGAGAACAUAAUAAAGCUCCAGAAUCAAGCAUAUCUGGAUUCUCUGCUUUGACAUCUUCAAGCUCCUCCUUUCCACCAUGCAAUCCUCCAAGAAGAGAUUGCUUAAUGGCUAAAGGAAAAUUCUGAGUUAUGAUUGUCUCUAGCACUGCAAGAUAGUGCUGUUCCAGUAAUUAUGCACCUGAAAGUGCUUCUGCUUGAUUGUUGUUCUAAACAAAUAAUUUAGAGAUGUAUUUUGCAUGGGAGUUUUCGGGGUACUUGUCACCGGGUGACGUGGUGCGUCCAGAUUUGUCUCUGGACGGUCCGGACACCACAUAAUAAUCUCUCACUUGGGAAAAUUAUUACGUGCGGUGUCCGGAUGCACCUCUGGACGGUCCGGAUACCGCACGUAAUAACUCUCACCUGGGAAAAUUAUUACGUGCCGUGUCCGGAUUCAUUUAGAGGAAAAUCCGGACGUGCAAUGUCACCUAGGGCCCGGUGCAUCCGGAUGAUGUGGCGCGUCCGAUUCACCUAUGAACGGUCUCGCACGUAAUAAUCUCUCCACCACCUGAUGGCUAAUGUUCUGUAUUUGUCAUCAGAUGAUGUCAUACAAGCUCUCAAUGUCUUUUCUAUUGGAAUUUUUUGAGCCUGAAUAUUUCUCUUGAUUAAAGCUUCUGCAUUAGAAGGCAGA